This 707-nucleotide ribosomal RNA is filed under the name uncultured Enterobacteriaceae bacterium. RNAcentral describes it as "bacterial SSU rRNA". It matches the Rfam family "Bacterial small subunit ribosomal RNA", at positions 793 to 1502 of the family's 1533-position model. The record is from RNAcentral. Lineage: Bacteria; Pseudomonadati; Pseudomonadota; Gammaproteobacteria; Enterobacterales; Enterobacteriaceae.
AGUCACGCUGUAAACGAUGUCGAUCUGGAGUUUGUUGCCUAGAGUGACGGGCUCCGAAGCUAACGCGAUAAAUCGACCGCUGGGGAGUACGGCCGCAAGGUUAAAACUCAAAUGAAUUGACGGGGGCCCGCACAAGCGGUGGAGCAUGUGGUUUAAUUCGAUGCAACGCGAAGAACCUUACCUGGUCUUGACAUCCAUAGAAUUCUGCAGAGAUGUGGGAGUGCCUUCGGGAACUAUGAGACAGGUGCUGCAUGGCUGUCGUCAGCUCGUGUUGUGAAAUGUUGGGUUAAGUCCCGCAACGAGCGCAACCCUUUUCUUUGUUGCCAGCGAUUUGGUCGGGAACUCAAAGGAGACUGCCGUUGAUAAAGCGGAGGAAGGUGGGGACGACGUCAAGUCAUCAUGGCCCUUACGACCAGGGCUACACACGUGCUACAAUGGCGUAUACAAAGGGAAGCGAAGGUGCGAGCUGGAGCGGAUCUCAUAAAGUACGUCUAAGUCCGGAUUGGAGUCUGCAACUCGACUCCAUGAAGUCGGAAUCGCUAGUAAUCGUAGAUCAGAAUGCUACGGUGAAUACGUUCCCGGGCCUUGUACACACCGCCCGUCACACCAUGGGAGUGGGUUGCACCAGAAGUAGAUAGCUUAACCGCGAGGGGGGCGUUUACCACGGUGUGAUUCAUGACUGGGGUGAAGUCGUAACAAGGUAACCA